RNAcentral lists this ribosomal RNA (253 nucleotides) under uncultured bacterium. Its description in RNAcentral is "partial 16S ribosomal RNA". It matches the Rfam family "Bacterial small subunit ribosomal RNA", at positions 524 to 776 of the family's 1533-position model. The record is from RNAcentral.
UACGUAGGGGGCAAGCGUUGUCCGGAUUUAUUGGGCGUAAAGAGCGUGUAGGCGGCUUUACAGGUCCGCUGUGAAAACUCGAGGCUCAACCUCGAGACGUCGGUUGAAACCGUAUGGCUAGAGUCCGGAAGAGGAGAGUGGAAUUCCCGGUGUAGCGGUGAAAUGCGCAGAUAUCGGGAAGAACACCCGUGGCGAAGGCGGCUCUCUGGGACGGUACUGACGCUGAGACGCGAAAGCGUGGGGAGCGAACAGG